GCUGCAGAUAGCGCACUCUGUUUGUUUUCUUUAUUUUUUUGUAAAUGCACAAAGUUUUGUUGUUAUCAUGUGUGUAUACAAAUAAAAGUAAACCCUUUACAGAUUCGUUUGAUGUAUUGCUCUUAUUAGUAUGAUCAAAACUGAAAGUGCAAUUUAAGUUAUUUUCGGUCUCCAAGUUGGGUCCAUCAAAGGCUAUCUGAAUGGUGUCCAAUUUUUCCACAAGUUGAUGUUCGGCGCUCCCUCGCCUGAAAUAAGCGAUUCACAAACUUCCCUCCUGAUCAAAGGGAUACAGCGAUCCCAGCCCACCUAGCCCGACUCUAGACAACCCAUAACGUUAGAUAUACACAAAAUGUAUCCACACCCUCCGCACAAAUUACCAGCCUCUCAGUACAGCCCGCACACUCGAUGCCAUGUUCAUCCUAGCGUUUUUCGGUUUACUUAGAUGCUCGUAGCUCACUAUUUCUUCCAAAUUUGAUCCAAAAAACAAACCCGACCAUCUCAGACCCAACCGUACUUGAUAACGAAACAAUUUCUUUCUUAAUCAAACAAAGCAAGACAGACCAAGGCAAGAAAGGUCAUUUCAUCUACAUUUUCAAUCUCCCUUCUCCAAUCCAACCCUACCAAUCCAUCUUAGAAAACCUCCGCCUUAGAAAUUCUCAGGCUAAAUUCCCGCACUAACCACUAUUCGUAGAUGACUCCAAAAAACCAGUCACUCAAUUCUGGUUCCAAAAACAUCUCUGAUCCGUCCUGCAAUUGUCGGGCAUCUCAGCAAAGAAUUUCUCCAGCCAUUCUUUUCGCAUCGGGGCAGCAACUUCACCAGCCCAAAAAGGUCUCUCCAAGCAGCAGAUCCAAACUCUUGGAAGAUGGUCUUCAGAAGCGUACCAAAGCUAUAUCAGAACUAACUAGUUCCACAUUAAAAAAGUCCAACAAACUGUCAUUGGUCAUCAAACCAAUUAAAAAAAAAAAAACACCCCUUUCCAUCCUAUGGCCGGCAAGGCUUACGUAUGCGAUGCCAUGAGUAUUGAGCUCCCAUCGGAUGUCGGUGAGAGCCUCCCGGCUAAACAACCUUACCUUUUCCUUUCUACGGUCGGCGAGACUUACCCACCCGAUGCCGCGAGUAUUGAGCUCCCGAUGAAUGCUGUCUAAGCCCUCUCAGCUAUCCUCACAUCUUUUUUCCCCCACCUGGCGAGGCUUACCCGUUCAAUGUUCUGAGUAUGAUACCCCAUCGGAUGCCGCGAGAGCCCUCCCAGUCGGGUUUUCCUUUUCUUUCUCCCCACCCGGCGAGGCUUACCCAUCUGAUGCGUGUGCUCCCGUCAGACGUCGGCGAGAGUUCUCCCGACCAGGCACCCCAAACCAUGUAGUCCAGUACCAGCAGCCGGUAGGGCCUACCCUUCCAACCCUUCCCCAGACAGCAUGCCAAAUAUGCAUUAUCAUACUUCAGCUAAUUAUAUGUGUGGACUCAUGAAAUAAUGUUUUAUUAACAAGUUUCGGGAGGAGUGCGUCAAAUACUUAGCCUAAUAAACACUGGUGGAGCACAAUCAAGUUAAUCAACACCACAGUAUAAAUACAACUGACUUAUCUAUAUCCAUUGACGGUUUAUCAGCAUCCCUCCUCCACCCAAUCUCCUCACUUCGAGUUUUCCGAUUAUACAGGAAGGGGGUACUCUAGGUUCAGGCCAGUCCCGAGCUUGGAGACCUUCCCUGGACAGCACGCCAAAUACGCAUUAUCAUACUUAAGCUAAUUAUAUGUAAGUGUGAACUCGUGAAUUGUGAGUUUAUGGUAUGAAUCUGUGGGUUGCUAUGUGUUCUGUCUUUUUUUGUUCAGCACUUAAAUGUGCUAUAUAAAUAAUAAUAAUAAAAAAACAUGAAACUUGAUUCUUGAGGGUGUUGCAUGGAAUUUCACAUUUCAAUUUUCUAGACAGAUGGAAUUGGACAUGCAGCACUUUACUUUUUCACCAACAGAUAUACAGUCGAGGCCAAAAAUAUUGGCCCCCUUGGUAAAUAUGAUCAAAAAAGGCUGUGAAAAUUCAUCUGCAUUGUUAAUCCUUUUGGUCUUUUAUUUAAAAAAUUCACACAAAUGUAUCCUUUCAUUGGAUAAUAAGAAUUUAAAAUGGGGGGAAAUAUCAUUAUGAAAUAAAUGUUUUUCUCUAAUACACAUUGGCCACAAUUAAUAGCCCCCUUUUAUUCAAUAAUUUUUGAAACCUCCAUUUGCCAGUUAAACAGGUCUAAAUUUUCUCCUAUAAUGCCUGAUUAGGUUAGAGAACGCCUGACAAGAGAUCAGAGACCAUUCCUUCAUCCAGAAUCACUCCAGACCCUUUAGAUUCCCAGCUCCAUGUUGGUGCUUCUCCUCUUCAGUUCCCUCCUCUCAUUUUCCGUAGGUUUCAGGUCAGAGGACUGGAAAGGCUAUAGCAGAAGCUUGGUUUUGAGCUCAAGACCCAUUUCUGUGUUGUUUUUGAGGUUUGUGUUUGGGUUAUUGUACAGUUGGAAGAUCCGAACAUGGCCCAUUAUAAGAUUUCUAACAGAGUCAGUCACUUACUGAUUUUUUUAUCUGUUGGUAUUUGAUAGAAUCCAUGAUGCCAUGUAUCUGAACAAGAUGUCCAGGACCUCCAGCAGAAAUAUAGGCCCACAACAUCAAAAAUACAGCAGUAUAUUUCAUUGUACACAUGGGGUACUUUUUUUAUCUCUGUUUUCACCAAACCCAUCUUGAGUGUUUGCUGCUAAAAAGCUCAUUUUUAGUUUCAUCUGAUCAUAGAAGCCAUUCCCAUUUAAAGUUCCAGUCAUGGCUGAUAACUGAAUAUGCUUUAGUUUGUUUUUGAAUGAGCUAGGAGAAAUUUUCUUGUAACCCUCCCAAAAAACGUGUUGAUGUAGGUUCUGUUGGACAACUUUUUUUAAAGGAUUUCUGAACCAGAGACUCAACUAUUUUCUGCAAUUCUCCAGCUGUGACCUUUGGAGAGUCUUUAGCUACUCAAACUCUCCUUCUCACCGCACAUUAGGACGAUAUAGACACACAUCCUCUUCCAGGCAGUUUUGUAACAUUUUCUGUUGGUUGGAAAUUCUUAAUUAUUGCCCUGAUGGUGGAAAUGGGAAUUUUCACUGCUCUAGCUCUUUUCUUAAAGCCACUUCAGCAAAUUGUGAAGCUCAAUUAUCUUUUGCUGCACAUCAGAAAUAUAUUCUUUGGUUUUUAGGGGCCAAGCCCCUUUCAAAUGAUGAAAUUUGGCACACUUCUAGUGAUGCCCAUGAUUUUGGGGUCUCUAAAACCAACUCUAUAGCGCCACCAGCAGUCCAAAUAUUCAACAUUCAAAUGUUAAUAACUCUUGAACCCCUAAUUCUAUGAAAAUAAAACUUAGUACACCUGAUCAGUCUCUUCAUGGAGAUUACAGGCAAUACCUUACAUUAAGUCUCCGCCCUUUACAGUAGUGUCCAUUUUGAAAAGUACAGUAUUCAGUCUAUUCGCUACUCCUCCUUCAAAACUGGUCCAAUUAUUCUGAAAUUUGGCUCAGUUCAUCUUUGGACCAAGCCGCACAGAAAUGACUCAACAGAUUUUUGAUAUUCAUCUUUGUUCAAAAGUUAUUAAAUUGUGAACUUAACGAGGUCGACCCAAUAUCGGUUCAGAGGCUGUAUCUCGGCCAAACUUUGAUCAAUCGAAACCAAACUUGGUACACUUCAUCAACACCAUGGUCUGAGGGUCUAUGCCAAAGUUGGGAACAGCGCCACCUAUGGGUGUUGAGAUACCAAAAAUGCACAUUUUUGCUUAUAAUUUCUGAACAAUCAGUCAGAAUUAUGAUCUUGGUGUCUAUGGAUUCUUUGGAUCAUUCCGAAUCUGUGGAUGUCAAUUUUGUCAAGAUUGACUGAACCACCUGUCCGCCAUUUUGAAAUUUGUCAUAAAUUGCUAUAUCUUUUGAACCACUGGACAAAUCUAAAAAUUUGUAGGGAUCAUGAACACCAUCUCCCGGAGGUACCCCGGAAGUUUGAAGACAGCGCUCAAGAGAUAUAAUGAUUCUUGCAAAACCCCUUAUAACUUUUGAAAAUGUUGCUCAAUUUUUGUUAAUUUUAUGUCAUUUCGUUCCGUGGGUUCUGCUGAAUCUUAUGAGAUCUUAUUUGUCAUUUUCCAACAUGGUGUCUGUCUGCCAUAUUGAAUUGAAUGAAAAAACAUUUUUUCGCUACUCCUCCCUGAAAUCUUGUUCAAUUUUGUUUAAAAUUUGAUCAGAUUAUCUUAAAACCGAGCCGGACAGAAAUGACUGAACAGAUUUUUGAUAUUCACUCUCGUUCCCGACAUGUACCUCUCGGAAGUUGACCGUGCCUGUGCUAGUUGAUUUAUGCUAAAAAAAAAAGUUCAUUAUUUUCCAUAAUGUAAUGAUAAAAAUUUAACUUUCAUAUAUUUUAGAUUCAUUACACUCCAACUGAAAUAUUUCAGGUCUUUUAUUGUUUUAAUACUGAUGAUUUUGGCAUACAGCUCAUGAAAACCCAAAAUUCCUAUCUCAAAAAAUUAGCAUAUUUCAUCUGACCAAUAAAAGAAAAGUGUUUUUAAUACAAAAAAAGUCAACCUUCAAAUAAUUAUGUUCAGUUAUGCACUCAAUACUUG
Molecule: long non-coding RNA, 4581 nt
Organism: Cyprinus carpio carpio
Lineage: Eukaryota; Metazoa; Chordata; Actinopteri; Cypriniformes; Cyprinidae
Source: Ensembl